GUCUACGGCCAUACCACCCUGAACGUGCCCCAUCUCAUCUGAUCUCGGAAGCUAAACAGGGUCGGGCCUGGUUAGUACUUGGAUAGGAGAAAUCUACAAAUAUUGGCACUUCUCAAUU
RNAcentral lists this ribosomal RNA (118 nucleotides) under Neogale vison (American mink). The record is from RNAcentral. Lineage: Eukaryota; Metazoa; Chordata; Mammalia; Carnivora; Mustelidae.